CAGACCGCAACCGGGGCUGUUUCAGGCCAGCGGGAAUGAAUGCUGGGUCACGCUAAUCUUGCCGCUAGAAACCGAACAGUACCCUAUUCAUCACCUGGAGCUUGAAGGAAAUAUGAAGUCAGAGUUCCUCACGGAGGCAGGGGUGCAGAGGGGCCGACACGGAAUCCAAAACGGGGCUCAAUGAAAAUGCACCGCGCGUUGGAAUUCACAGAUGGCACCCUGCAGGAAUCAUUACAACUGCAAAUAUACAAAAAAGAGGUCAUUUGUGGUCAUCGCUGGACAUGACGCAAGGGACAGUCAUGCUCCUGAGCUUCUCCCCCCAGGCACAAUGCUUAACCUGGCCCUUCACACUGAGCGUCAAGGGGCCGCGCGUCUGCUGACCCCGGUGAUGUUUCCAGGAAGUUUCUCUCCCUGCCCAGUGGGGAGCAGCAGCACAGCCCCCGCCCAGCCCGGGGCGCCGCUCCGCUCCCAGGGAGGAGGAGGAGGCCUGCACAGAGGGGGUGUCUGCAGGGGGCAGCUGCAGAUUUUUGGAGGGAACCAAAGACUCUCUGGCCAUUAGACUAAUGAACAUUUCUGUCAUUUGAAAUAUGAACUCAAAAAUACAUUCUCCGAAACACAGGAGAAAGACGGCCUACAAGAAAGUAUAUUCCAGCACAGAACAGAAGAGGGGCCCAGGGAACCGGACAAAACGUGUGCAUACAUAUCUGCACAUGCGUGUGCAAGCACAUAUAUGUGCACACAUGUGCAUGUAUGUGCGCACACAUGU
This is a long non-coding RNA of Phyllostomus hastatus (greater spear-nosed bat), 766 nucleotides long. RefSeq lists it as uncharacterized. The record is from RefSeq and is a predicted model, not a curated record. Lineage: Eukaryota; Metazoa; Chordata; Mammalia; Chiroptera; Phyllostomidae. The transcript is spliced from 3 exons.